RNAcentral lists this long non-coding RNA (246 nucleotides) under Setaria viridis. Its description in RNAcentral is "long non-coding RNA (SVIR_LNC007972)". The record is from RNAcentral. Lineage: Eukaryota; Viridiplantae; Streptophyta; Magnoliopsida; Poales; Poaceae.
AGAAUGGUUCUGUCCAAAAUUUUGAUCAAGUGGCGGACGGUCCGCCAACCAAGGUCGGACCAUCCACCUCUAUAACUUCGCGUCCCAACAGAACAAGACUUUGUUCUAUCUAAAAACCAAAUCAGAAGGCGGAACGUCCACCCACUCAAGGUCGGGCUGUCCACCCUUUAGUGUUUCAGCACAUCAACACCAACUCAGAAACGGUUAAGUCAAAAUAACAGUCCACCUUUACAAGGGAGAUCGUCC